AUGCCGAAAUCUGAGACUUCACCUUGUGAACAGCCUCAGGCUCGCAGGCCCCGCUCCGGGGCCAACCUCAGCAGCGUCAGCCGAGGUGCAACAGCUCAAGAGGCCACUCAGAGCCCCAAGUGCUCAGACAAUCCCGGGGCAGUUAAACCAGCCGCUCACCCUGCGCGGGGCCGGGCCGGACAAAGGCCGCGGCCCCCUCCCUGCGCCGGCCGAGGCCACGGGCGGGCCACGGCCCUUUCCAACAGGUACCGCAGGGCCGGGAGGCGGCGGCGGCGGCCGCGCUCCCGCAGGCCGCGGGGCCGAGGCGGCCAUGUUGUGGUCCUGCGGCCUGCGGGAACUUUCGGGGAAGUUUCUGGGGCGGCCCGCGGGGGGCAGGGGCCCGGGGACGGCGGGCGGCGCGGGGCCCCGCGGCGGGCGGGCGGAGGCGGCGGCGCCGGGGCCGCGCUCCGGGCCGCGCACACGCGGAAAGCGCGCGGCGCUCGCGCUACGGCGGCCACGCCCACGCCCCGCCCCCGCGCCGCUCCCCGCACUCUGAUUGGCCGUUCCGGCUGUCAGUCAGCGGCCGGGCCCAUCUCGCGCUCCCCAUUCAUGCAGUUUGGUUGCGUGACGGUCGGAACAGUUUUUCGCCGCUUCCAUUUAUUUUUCGAUAUCUUAUCUCUAUUAGGUUUUGCAAUCAACUAUUAAGGUGCAACUAUGCCCAAAAGAAAGGCUCCAGCUGAAGGCGAGGCAAAGGAGGAG
RNAcentral lists this long non-coding RNA (738 nucleotides) under Parus major (Great Tit). RNAcentral describes it as "lncRNA (ENSPMJG00000004734.1)". Lineage: Eukaryota; Metazoa; Chordata; Aves; Passeriformes; Paridae. The record is from RNAcentral.